UACGUAGGGUGCAAGCGUUGUCCGGAAUUAUUGGGCGUAAGAGCUCGUAGGCGGUUGUCGCGUCGAAUGUGAAACUCGGGCUCAACUCCGAGCUUGCAUUCGAUACGGCAGGCUAGAGUUCGGUAGGGAGAAUGGAUUCCGUGUAGCGGUGAAUGCGCAGAUAUCGGAGACACCGUGCGAGCGGUUCUCUGGCCGAUAUCGACGCUGAGAGCGAAGCGUGGGAGCGAACAG
Molecule: ribosomal RNA, 231 nt
Filed under: uncultured bacterium
Lineage: Bacteria
Description: partial 16S ribosomal RNA
Rfam family: Bacterial small subunit ribosomal RNA
Source: RNAcentral